AGGCAAGCUCCAGGUGGAAGAACAGAAUUCCCAAGAAUACAAAGUGAAACAAACUACAAUGUCCAUUGUGGAUUCCAAGGUUUCCAAGAACAGAUUUGAUAGGUAGUUUUUGGAGAUGCUUGAAAUAAGAGAUGCUUGAGCCAGACUUCUAGUUCACAAUGGCCUCAACAUGGCAAUGCAAGAGGAUGAAAAAACAGGCAGAAAUUCAGCAGAGUUGAGGA
Molecule: long non-coding RNA, 221 nt
Organism: Hemicordylus capensis (graceful crag lizard)
Lineage: Eukaryota; Metazoa; Chordata; Lepidosauria; Squamata; Cordylidae
Exons: 3
Source: RefSeq, a predicted model, not a curated record